AAAAAUGUAGAAGAAGAAAAGCGGGACAAAGACAGAGUAUUGGGUGACCUACGUUCCUGUGGUGGUGAACAUGACUGCGAGUUCUCCAGAAGAACAAAUGCUGUAUUAUUACAGUGCUCCAGUACAUGUGGUGCCUCCUCAGCAGUACUCAGUCCAUCCCACAGGAUUCAAUACAUGCUACACUC
Silurus meridionalis is the source of this 185-nucleotide long non-coding RNA. RefSeq lists it as uncharacterized. NCBI's taxonomy places the organism in Eukaryota, Metazoa, Chordata, Actinopteri, Siluriformes, Siluridae. The record is from RefSeq and is a predicted model, not a curated record. The transcript has 3 exons.